UACGGGGGGAGCAAGCGUUGUUCGGAUUUACUGGGCGUAAAGGGCGCGUAGGCGGCGCAACAAGUCACUUGUGAAAUCUCCGGGCUUAACCCGGAGCGGCCAAGUGAUACUGUCGUGCUAGAGUGCGGAAGGGGCUACUGGAAUUCUCGGUGUAGCGGUGAAAUGCGCAGAUAUCGGGAGGAACACCAGUAGCGAAGGCGGCACUCUGGGCCGGUACUGACGCUGAGGAGCGAAAGCGUGGGGAGCGAACAGG
RNAcentral lists this ribosomal RNA (253 nucleotides) under uncultured bacterium. Its description in RNAcentral is "partial 16S ribosomal RNA". It matches the Rfam family "Bacterial small subunit ribosomal RNA", at positions 524 to 776 of the family's 1533-position model. The record is from RNAcentral.